CACAACUACGUAUGUAUAAUAAGGGAAAGUCCCGUCCUAAAAAAAUAUCGCAUGCUUCAUUGGAAAUUGAUUGCUCGUCGGAAAUAAGUCACAUAUUUUUUCAAUCACAUUUUACUGAAGCUGGGUUUGCUGCAAAGUCGGAAUAGUUUGCUUUUCAGUCUUCUUGAAAUCUGCCACUCCGUUUUGGGUGCCAAUUGCGACUACCAUGAUUGACAUCUUGUGGAUUUGCGCGCUAUCUGUAGUGCUUAUACUGAUUCAGAGGCAAUCUAUGAACGUUUAUGCAGCUGUUGCCUGUGUGCCAUUGGAGACCCCGGAAGGAGCCAGUCUAAUAGAACCGUUCUCUUGUAACACCGACUACGGAUCGAAAUGCAAGUUUACCUGUAAAGUUGGAUUUGUCAUGAGCAGGAAAGAAGGGGAGGGCCGAAAUGUGACUAGAACGUGCUUACAGCCUGGAAAACGGAGUGGAAAACCCAUUGAAUGUAAAGGUACUAUUUAUAGAUAAGACAAGCUUUUGUUGCAAUUGCAAAUAUCUGUGAUUAGAAUGUUAAGGUAAAUGUACGAAAUGUACGAGAUAUUUGAGGUACAAUAAGCUUACUUCGACGUUUAUCUUAUUUUACAUUAAAUAUGUCACUAUCAAAUGAAUAUGCCGC
Molecule: long non-coding RNA, 650 nt
Organism: Orbicella faveolata
Lineage: Eukaryota; Metazoa; Cnidaria; Anthozoa; Scleractinia; Merulinidae
Source: RefSeq, a predicted model, not a curated record